CAGCAUUUUUGGUCGACGAAAAAAGAGCAGCAACCGACUCUGACCAUAGAUGAUCCGAAAAAUCCCUUCCUUAUCAUCGUUCUUCUCCAAACCAAGAGAUAAAGAGCUCUUAUCACAUUCUAAAAGAGCACGCAGCCGCAACACACACAUAUAGAUAGCAAGAGAGAAAGAAAUAGAGGGAAAAGGAUAGAUAACUCUUUUAUUUCUUCUAUUUCUUUUUUUAAAUCUCGAUUUUGAUUUAAAAAAACGGAGUUUGAAUGAACAUUCGGUCCGAGUGUGAGUCCAGCUGAGAUUUGUAGUGCCGAUCGAGGUGUUGAAUACUACUGUUGCUGUUGGGUACUGCUGAUACCUCAUUUUUCUGCUUCCUUCUUUCAUUUCCAGGUGUGGAUCUACUUACUGAAGUUUGAGCAUGACAGAUACCACAGGAUCAAU
Molecule: non-coding RNA, 432 nt
Organism: Nicotiana tabacum (common tobacco)
Lineage: Eukaryota; Viridiplantae; Streptophyta; Magnoliopsida; Solanales; Solanaceae
Source: RefSeq, a predicted model, not a curated record